UAGGGAAUCUUCGGCAAUGGGGGGAACCCUGCCCGAGCAACGCCGCGUGAGUGAAGAAGGUUUUCGGAUCGUAAAGCUCUGUUGUUAAGGAAGAACGAGUGUGAGAAUGGAAAGUUCAUGCUGUGACGGUACUUAACCAGAAAGGGCCGGCUAACUACGUGCCAGCAGCCGCGGUAAUACGUAGGUCCCGAGCGUUGUCCGGAUUUAUUGGGCGUAAAGCGAGCGCAGGCGGUUAGAAAAGUCUGAAGUGAAAGGCAGUGGCUCAACCAUUGUAGGCUUUGGAAACUGUUUAACUUGAGUGCAGAAGGGGAGGGUGGAAUUCCAUGUGUAGCGGUGAAAGGCGUAGAUAUAGGGAGGAACACCGGUGGCGAAAGCGGCUCUCUGGUCUGUAACUGACGCUGAGGCUCGAAAGCGUGGGGAGCGAACAGG
This 429-nucleotide ribosomal RNA is filed under the name Verrucomicrobiota bacterium. RNAcentral's name for it is "Verrucomicrobia bacterium partial 16S ribosomal RNA". It matches the Rfam family "Bacterial small subunit ribosomal RNA", at positions 355 to 776 of the family's 1533-position model. The record is from RNAcentral. Lineage: Bacteria; Pseudomonadati; Verrucomicrobiota.